RNAcentral lists this unclassified non-coding RNA (352 nucleotides) under soil metagenome. Its description in RNAcentral is "partial contains 5.8S ribosomal RNA, internal transcribed spacer 2, and large subunit ribosomal RNA". The stretch from base 1 to 120 matches the Rfam family "5.8S ribosomal RNA", at positions 35 to 154 of the family's 154-position model. The record is from RNAcentral.
GAUGAAGAAUGCAGCGAAAUGCGAUAAGUGAUGUGAAUUGCAGAAUUCAGUGAAUCAUCGAAUCUUUGAACGCACAUUGCGCCCGCCAGUAUUCUGGCGGGCAUGCCUGUUCGAACGUCAUUUCAACCCUCAGGCCCCCAGUGCCUGGUGUUGGGGAUCGGCCCAGCCUUCCUGUAAGGCCGCCGGCCCCGAAAUCUAGUGGCGGUCUCGCUGUAGUCCUCCUCUGCGUAGUAGCACAACCUCGCAGUUGGAACGCGGCGGUGGCCAUGCCGUUAAACACCCCACUUCUGAAAGUUGACCUCGGAUCAGGUAGGAAUACCCGCUGAACUUAAGCAUAUCAAUAAGCGGAGGA